AGAAUCAACGCUGGCGGCGUGCCUAACACAUGCAAGUCGAACGCGAAAGGGGAGCAAUCCCUGAGUAGAGUGGCAAACGGGUGAGUAACACGUGGGUGACCUGCCUUCGAGUGGGGGAUAACGUCCCGAAAGGGACGCUAAUACCGCAUGACAUCCUGCUUUUGGAAAAGCGGAGAUCAAAGCCGGGGAUUCGCAAGAACCUGGCGCUUGAAGAGGGGCCCGCGCCUGAUUAGCUAGUUGGUGAGGUAACGGCUCACCAAGGCUACGAUC
Molecule: ribosomal RNA, 270 nt
Filed under: uncultured soil bacterium
Lineage: Bacteria
Description: partial 16S ribosomal RNA
Rfam family: Bacterial small subunit ribosomal RNA
Source: RNAcentral